GACGGAACGCUGGCGGCGUGCCUAACACAUGCAAGUCGAACGGAGAAUUUUUAUUUUCGGUUAGAAUUCUUAGUUGGCGAACGGGUGAGUAACGCGUAGGCAACCUGCCCUUUAGACGGGACGAACAUUCCGAAAGGAGUGCUAAUACCGGAUGUGAUCAUCUUGCCGCAUGGCAGGAUGAAGAAAGAUGGCCUCUACAAGUAAGCUAUCGCUAAAGGAUGGGCCUGCGUCUGAUUAGCUAGUUGGUAGUGUAACGGACUACCAAGGCGAUGAUCAGUAGCCGGUCUGAGAGGAUGAACGGCCACAUUGGGACUGAGACACGGCCCAAACUCCUACGGGAGGCAGCAGUGGGGAAUCUUCCGCAAUGGACGAAAAGUCUGA
RNAcentral lists this ribosomal RNA (381 nucleotides) under uncultured bacterium. RNAcentral describes it as "bacterial SSU rRNA". It matches the Rfam family "Bacterial small subunit ribosomal RNA", at positions 27 to 386 of the family's 1533-position model. The record is from RNAcentral.